RNAcentral lists this ribosomal RNA (468 nucleotides) under uncultured bacterium. RNAcentral describes it as "partial 16S ribosomal RNA". It matches the Rfam family "Bacterial small subunit ribosomal RNA", at positions 28 to 507 of the family's 1533-position model. The record is from RNAcentral.
GACGAACGCUGGCGGCGUGCUUAACACAUGCAAGUCGAACGGAAAGGCCCUGCUUUUGUGGCGUGCUCGAGUGGCGAACGGGUGAGUAACACGUGAGUAACCUGCCCUUGACUUUGGGAUAACUUCAGGAAACUGGGGCUAAUACCGGAUAGGAGCUCCUGCUGCAUGGUGGGGGUUGGAAAGUUUCGGCGGUUGGGGAUGGACUCGCGGCUUAUCAGCUUGUUGGUGGGGUAGUGGCUUACCAAGGCUUUGACGGGUAGCCGGCCUGAGAGGGUGACCGGCCACAUUGGGACUGAGAUACGGCCCAGACUCCUACGGGAGGCAGCAGUGGAGAAUAUUGCACAAUGGGCGGAAGCCUGAUGCAGCAACGCCGCGUGCGGGAUGACGGCCUUCGGGUUGUAAACCGCUUUCGCCUGUGACGAAGCGUGAGUGACGGUAAUGGGUAAAGAAGCACCGGCUAACUACGUG